CAGCCGCCGCGGUAAUACGUAGGGUGCAAGCGUUAUCCGGAAUUACUGGGCGUAAAGCGUGCGUAGGUGGUGGUUUAAGUCCGUUGUGAAAGCCCUGGGCUCAACCUGGGAAUUGCAGUGGAUACUGGGUCACUAGAGUGUGGUAGAGGAUAGUGGAAUUUCCGGUGUAGCAGUGAAAUGCGUAGAGAUCGGAAGGAACAUCUGUGGCGAAGGCGACUAUCUGGGCCAACACUGACACUGAGGCACGAAAGCGUGGGGAGCAAACAGGAUUAGAUACUCCGGUAGUCCCUGUCUCUUAUAC
Molecule: ribosomal RNA, 301 nt
Filed under: uncultured bacterium
Lineage: Bacteria
Description: partial 16S ribosomal RNA
Rfam family: Bacterial small subunit ribosomal RNA
Source: RNAcentral